GAAAUGCGAUAAGUAAUGUGAAUUGCAGAAUUCAGUGAAUCAUCGAAUCUUUGAACGCACAUUGCGCCCGCCAGCACUGUGGCGGGCAUGCCUGGUCGAGCGUCAUUUCAAGCAUCAAGCCCCCGGGCUUGCGUUGGGGACCUGCGGCUGCCCGCCGGCCCUGAAAACCAGUGGCGGGCUCGCUGUCACCCCGGUCGUAGUAGUACCAUCUCGUCCAGGGCGUGGCUGCGGCCUCCCGACGUUAAACCUUCUCACACCCAAAGUUUGACCUCGGAUCAGGUAGGAAUACCCGCUGAACUUAA
This 302-nucleotide unclassified non-coding RNA is filed under the name uncultured Sordariomycetes. Its description in RNAcentral is "sequence contains ITS1". The stretch from base 1 to 105 matches the Rfam family "5.8S ribosomal RNA", at positions 50 to 154 of the family's 154-position model. Lineage: Eukaryota; Fungi; Ascomycota; Sordariomycetes. The record is from RNAcentral.